UGGGGAAUUUUGGACAAUGGGGGAAACCCUGAUCCAGCCAUCCCGCGUGUGCGAUGAAGGCCUUCGGGUUGUAAAGCACUUUUGGCAGGAAAGAAACGUCGCGGGUUAAUACCCCGCGAAACUGACGGUACCUGCAGAAUAAGCACCGGCUAACUACGUGCCAGCAGCCGCGGUAAUACGUAGGGUGCAAGCGUUAAUCGGAAUUACUGGGCGUAAAGCGUGCGCAGGCGGUUCGGAAAGAAAGAUGUGAAAUCCCAGAGCUUAACUUUGGAACUGCAUUUUUAACUACCGGGCUAGAGUGUGUCAGAGGGAGGUGGAAUUCCGCGUGUAGCAGUGAAAUGCGUAGAUAUGCGGAGGAACACCGAUGGCGAAGGCAGCCUCCUGGGAUAACACUGACGCUCAUGCACGAAAGCGUGGGGAGCAAACAGGAUUAGAUACCCUGGUAGUCCACGCCCUAAACGAUGUCAACUAGUUGUUGGGGAUUCAUUUCCUUAGUAACGUAGCUAACGCGUGAAGUUGACCGCCUGGGGAGUACGGUCGCAAGAUUAAACUCAAAUGAA
Molecule: ribosomal RNA, 560 nt
Filed under: uncultured bacterium
Lineage: Bacteria
Description: partial 16S ribosomal RNA
Rfam family: Bacterial small subunit ribosomal RNA
Source: RNAcentral